Long non-coding RNA from Hyposmocoma kahamanoa, 1032 nucleotides. RefSeq lists it as uncharacterized. Lineage: Eukaryota; Metazoa; Arthropoda; Insecta; Lepidoptera; Cosmopterigidae. The transcript is spliced from 3 exons. The record is from RefSeq and is a predicted model, not a curated record.
UAGUCAUUGCGAAUUUGACUGCCGGCUUAAUGAGCUUAGCGAAAAUUUUUUUUUGUUUCGUUUUUUUUCUUUCAACUGUGACAUUGGCAAAAUCAUCAGUUCUCAUAUUGAUGGAGCCAUAAAAAUAAAAAGUGAAGUGAAGUGAUUGGAUAUUAACACCAUGGAUCGCUAUUUGAAUUGUGGUAUAGCGACUAGCCCUUGUAAUGUUCUAGGUCGACGAGUCUUACUGUCUGAACUGAACAAUAUUGUCGUUAAUUUGUCAAUGGCUUGCACCACUAUUUGUGAACAGCAGUGACCAUGUUUGCCAAGCUUGCUGGGACUUGCCUCAAAAACCAACUGUUGAUGCACUGAGACAAUUUUACAACAUUUACUACAAACACUUGUCUCUGCUGUGGGCUCUCUCUUGUGUCAUAAGUCAGCUGUAACCACACACAAUUCUUCUUCACAUGGACUCAUCUCGACAAUAUAUCUCGAUAAUUUGUAAUGGUAUAAAAUAACAUAUUAUGCCUUAAACUGUAGAGGUAGCAAGUCGUACUUGUUGGGUGGCUGCUGAUAGAGCUGCUGACCAUGUAGUCUUAGGCUCAUUCAAAGGCACAAGAUCUUCCCACUGAGCCUCCAAAUAAAAAAUUUUGAAACAACCAACCUAAACCUACUACUGUGUAAUACCAGACUUCUAUGAGAGCCAUGGAAACAGAAAGUUGAUGCUUUAUUGAAGGAUGCCAUAGAACACAGAUACAGAGUUUCACUUUCUGCUAGAAGAAUGUUGUUCAGUCAGUAUACAUAAAUAUUAUAUCCCUGGGAAUAAUCAUGUUUAUGAUUGACAUUUGAUUAUUGAAGCAUAGAUCUAGACAAGUACAGAAUUCCACUGCAAAGCAUAUCCAGGACGUGAUGUUGCUGUAAGAUGUUCUAGGUCUAGGGUUACUGCAUCUUGAGAAAAUAGAUUAUAUGGAAGACCUAGGCGCAUAUACAUGGAUUGGCUUGUAUAGUCUCAUCAACUGCGCAAUGAUGAUUCUUAGUUAUUGAAAUCAAGAG